This is a non-coding RNA of Phascolarctos cinereus (koala), 3444 nucleotides long. Lineage: Eukaryota; Metazoa; Chordata; Mammalia; Diprotodontia; Phascolarctidae. The record is from RefSeq and is a predicted model, not a curated record.
CCCAAAUGGGGUCAGGAAGAGUCGGACACGACUGAAAAAUGACUGAACGAAAAGAUUCCUUCUGGCUCUAAAACUAGGAUCUUAGGAAGGUUAGCAUCAAAAGUGUCCUUGGUUGUUCCUCUAGGCCUCUGCCAGAUCUGCCGGUGUUUCAAGUCCCGAGUCUAGUGGUGUCAGUUGAGAAAGUCAGUGUAUUUCCUAAAUUAAAAACAGCAAUGACAACAACAGGUGAGGAGUGAUUUAAAAAUUGGAUGCCUGGUAUUUAAGCCUGAACUCUUCAUGGUUAUAUGAAGGUCAAGUCACAGCCAAAAGACAGUCCAUAUGGCCCCAAAAGUUCAUUGAGAAAGAGCUUUUAAAGGUGAGAUGAAAAAUGCAUCUGACAUUAAAAGAAACCUGCUUUUUUUUUUUAAUGAGAAACCUGACUUAAAAAAAGAUCUAAAUAAAAUAUACCUACUGCCCCUCUUUGCAGAGGUGGAGGUGGAGGGGUGUGGAAUAGUGCAUUUAGCAUCAACCAUGGUUGAGGUGUUGGUUCAUUUUGAACUGAUUUCUUUUUCCUCUUUUCUAAUUUCUAUUAUGAAGAAUGUCACAGUGGGAAAGACCAUAAGGAGGGACAGGUUGAGAAACAUGGGUGAUAGAAAAGCAAAAGAUACAGCUAGAAGCAAGAUGAUAGAAAUGACAAAGCUGCCCACACUGUAGGUCAGAGCUCCCACCUCCCUGCGUUCAUCUGUCCUUUGUCUUGAAGUGGCGGGUGACAUCUUGGGUAGAGCUCAGGGCUAGGAGUCAGGAACUAGGAGUCUAAGUCUUUCUUGGCUGGCUGUUAGCUAAAUGAGGAUUCGGGGAGAAGAUGUUCCUGGCUAGGCUUUCAUCAGCUAUAAUUCACUAGGCUUAUUAUCAGUUGCAGUCAGUGACAUGUGACCUGUUUCAGGAUAUAUGAUGUUAUUUAUUUUGGUACAUUUGUGCCUGCAUUGUUCACUGAAGAAAAGACAAUUUUUUUUCCUAGUAUUUCUUCAGUAACAACAACACUGCUCUUUGUAACUAGCAUGUUAGCCUUGGGUGGGUUGAAUGGUCUUUACAUGCAAAAAAACACCUCCCCCCUCCCCCCAAGUACCAAGACCCUACAAAAUCAGACAAUGAGAACAGCCCCCUUGUCACAGCAGUUUGUGAAUUCUGAUCAUGAACCGAAUUUGGGAAUGGCAUCUGAGUCCUACGUGCUCAGUGCUCAGGAAUGAGAAAGGUCCCUUCAUACUAAAGGGCGUUCCAAAUGUGGCCAUGGGUGAUGAAGAUCCUGUUACUGUCUGAUUUGUUAAUGGGAGACAGGAUGCAUGUCAUUUCUAAGUACAAGCUGUCAUCCACACUCAUGGUGGUUUGUCCUAUCUUUCCUCGGCCUUGGCAUCUGUCCUCUGUAGCAGUGGCUUCUGGUUCAGUCAGGCUCAAUUGACGUCGCUAGCAUGUGAAAGCCAAAUAUGACUUCUAGAAAGGAUUCCCUUGGAACCAGAACCAAAACUAGGAAUUUUUGCCCCUGGGGCAAACAUCUUGAAGUGAGGGUCCUCAUUUGAGAGGGACAGGGGAAGCAGAGCGUUGGGGACAUCAGGACACUUGGAGGGGUGGGAAAGACAACCUGUUUUUCACUAAUUCCUUCUAACACGCUGGUAGGCUUUGUAAUUUUUAUAGUGUUGAAAGAAUAUAAGACGUGUACUUUGCCUUGGGGCAAAGCUCUGGUCGUCCCAUUCUGGUUACACUGUGGUUGGAAUUAUUUAUUGUCAGGUGGCAAAAUCUUGCCAAAAGAAACCUGAUAAAUGGAUUGUAAGCUAUUUCUUGGAUCCACAAAGCAGAAUGAUGUUCUGUAAAUGACUGCCCUGGGGAUUGGUUUGGGAAGUAUUAAUGAUUUCUCCACGAUAGACGGUAUAAUGUCAUGUUCCUAGAACACAAUGUAAUUAUCUUAUUUUGUACACGUGAGCUUUUCUUGCACUGGUUUGAUGUUUCUCUGUUAGUACCAGGCUGGCUUUGUUAGUUAAUUCUCUAAUUGUUUCUGUACAUCAUUGAAAACUCAGAAUUGGGCCUGGAAAGUUGAUUCCAGUUGUCAGUUAAAUGAUGAGAUUAGCCAAUGUACAGUUAGCCAGAUACAAUGUGAAAUUAAGUCCAUGUGAAUUUGUUGAGUGUUGAUUUAAGAAAAGAAAAUUUGUGUUCUCUAAUAAAUGAACUUCCUGCAGAAUAAAAGCUUGGGUGAUACCAUUCCAUCCAUUAAUGUUCACUCUUGUCUUCUCUUGGGUUUAUAGAAAGUCAACUGAGUGGGGUGCAGGAAAGAGCAUUGCACUUGGAGUCUGAAGACCUGGAUUCAAAUCCUACCCUUGAUGACCUUGGGCAAGUCACUUCACUUGCCUGGGCCUCAGUUUCCUCAUCUAUAAGAAUGUAGGUGUUGGACUAGAGAGAUGGUCCUGUAUAAUAGAUUAGUAAAUAGAACAUUAGGCUUUGAUCAGAAAAAUCUGGAUUCGAGUUCUACUUUGGACACAUAACUGGCUGUGUGAUCCUAUCCUAUUCACCUGAUUCUUCCAAGCUUCAGAUUCCUCUUCUAUAAAAUAGAGAUUACCCUAAUCACUGUGGGGUCAUAGAAUUCCAUAGUUGAAAGGGACCUCAGAGGUUGUGAAGGUCUCCCUGCCCCUUAACCCUCUCCAGCUAGCAGUUCCCAAGUCAUGCUUCACAUCCCACCCCAGUCUCUUUACCAUCUGCUCAGCCCCAGUGCACCACCUCCUAUUCCCCCUGACUUUCCAGCCUGGAAACCACAAUUACAUCAGUAUUGCAUUGCUGCUGCUAACCAGCUCUGCUCGUCAUUCCUAUGACUUCCAGAUGCUUCCUGCACCAGCUAGCUCGCCCAGGAGAGUGGGAUCCUUGGAGAUUUGGAUGCCUGCCCUGGGACCCUGCUGUCCUGAUUGCUCUUGCCACUGUGCGCAUCUUUCCUUGGAACUGAACGUCAUGUUGUAAGAAAGGGAAGAUGGCCAAGUGGAUGGAUCACCCAUCUCGGAGUGAGGAAGAUACUUCAGACUGACUCACCGCUGUCACAUUUCACGCCCCUCCAGCCAACGUCACAUUCGCAGGAUCCGUCUCCAUCCAGCCCCUGGCUGCAUUGUCCAUGGACACAACUGCAUACUAAAGGAAAAAAGGAAAAAAGUUUGCUUCCUGAUUCAUUGACCUCCAGUCAAAGAGACCAAGGUGGGAGGAUUUAUUCUCUGGGAUCUUAGGACCUCUGGUGUGAGAAAUUCCUCCACAACUCCCAUGGCCAAGGAAUACGAACUGAGUCCUGAAAAAAUAGAGGACAGAGAGCUUUUCCAGGGUUCAGUAAUGUCCCUCCCCUUUGGCAAGCAAGGAGGGUGAAGCACGGAGAGGAAAGCAACAUUUGGAUGAAAGACACUUCGGGUCUGGCCAAGCUGCUGGAACAAAGCCCUCAACCUC